UCCCUGGUGGCUCACUGGUAAAGAACCUGCCUGUCAAUGCAGGAGAUGUGGGUUUGAUUCCUGCAUGGGGAA
RNAcentral lists this transfer RNA (72 nucleotides) under Bos taurus (domestic cattle). It matches the Rfam family "tRNA". Rfam says of the family: Transfer RNA (tRNA) molecules are approximately 80 nucleotides in length. Their secondary structure includes four short double-helical elements and three loops (D, anti-codon, and T loops). Lineage: Eukaryota; Metazoa; Chordata; Mammalia; Artiodactyla; Bovidae. RNAcentral also lists the same sequence under 5 other names. The record is from Rfam by way of RNAcentral.